Molecule: long non-coding RNA, 1079 nt
Filed under: Nicotiana benthamiana
Lineage: Eukaryota; Viridiplantae; Streptophyta; Magnoliopsida; Solanales; Solanaceae
Description: long non-coding RNA (NBEN_LNC032646)
Source: RNAcentral
AGAAAUGAACUUCUUAACCUUCAAAAUAUCUGAGUUACAGAUAUACAUAUACACAACUUGGGUCGGGUCAAACAGCCCAAGUGUAAAAGAAAUAGAAUGGGCUCAGAUUCUGCUAUGCCCAAAUAAUCUAACUAAGUCUGCCUACAAUAUACAAAGUAUACAAUGAAUAUACAAUAAAUAUGCAACCCAAUAUCAAUGUCUAUAUUUAUGUUUAUGCUUAGAAGCUAGAUAAGCUUGUAGCUCAACACCCCCCCUCAAGUUGGAGGGGGAGACCACCUUCAACUUGACCAGUAGAGGAUGGAGGACAGUCCUAGGCAGAGGCUUGGUGAGGAGGUCAGCUAGCUGUCGAGAGGUAGGGACAUGGGAGAGUGUAAUGAGCCCACUAGUCAGCUGAUCCCUAGCAAAGUGACAAUCCACCUCAAUAUGCUUGGUCCGCUCAUGAAAAACAGGAUUCUUGGCAAUAUGAAUAGCAGCCUGGUUGUCACAAAAUACAGAGAAGGGAAGAGUAACAGAAACCCCACAGAGGCUUGGUGAGGAGGUCAGUGAGCUGUCGAGAAGUAGGGACAUGGGAGAGAGUAAUGAGCCCACUAGUCAAUUGAUCCCUAAUAAAGUGACAAUCCACCUCAAUAUGCUUGGUCCGCUCAUGAAAAACAUGAUUCUUGGCAAUAUGAAUAGCAGCCUGGUUGUCACAAAAAACAGAUAAGGGAAGAGUAACAGAAACCCUAAUAUCCGUAAGUAAACGAGAAAGCCAAGACAAUUCAGCUACCACUUUACUGAGUGCCCUAUAUUCUGCUUCAGCAGAAGAUAAGGAAACUACAGGUUGCUUUUUGGACUUCCAACUAAUCAAACAACCACCCAAAAUAACACAAAAACCAGUAACAGAUCUGCGAGUAUCAGGGCAGGCAGCCCAAUCACUGUCAGAAUAAGCAGUAAUAGAGAAAUCAGAACUGGCAGAAUAGAACAGACCCAAAGAUAAAGUGCCCUUAAGAUAUAUGAGGACAUGGAGGACAGCAGUCAUAUGAGGGACUCUGGGACAUUUCAGAAAUUGACUCAGAUGCUGAACAGCAAAACAGAUGUNN